AUAUCAAUAAGCGGAGGAAAAGAAACCAACAGGGAUUGCCCCAGUAACGGCGAGUGAAGCGGCAACAGCUCAAAUUUGAAAUCUGGCCCUCGGGUCCGAGUUGUAAUUUGUAGAGGAUGCUUUUGGCGCGGUGCCUUCCGAGUUCCCUGGAACGGGACGCCUUAGAGGGUGAGAGCCCCGUACGGUUGGACACCAAGCCUCUGUAAAGCUCCUUCGACGAGUCGAGUAGUUUGGGAAUGCUGCUCUAAAUGGGAGGUAAAUUUCUUCUAAAGCUAAAUAUUGGCCAGAGACCGAUAGCGCACAAGUAGAGUGAUCGAAAGAUGAAAAGCACUUUGAAAAGAGGGUUAAAUAGCACGUGAAAUUGUUGAAAGGGAAGCGUUUGCGACCAGACCUCUCCCCGGCGGAUCAUCCGGCGUUCUCGCCGGUGCACUCCGCCGGGCUGAGGCCAGCAUCGGUUCCCGCGGGGGGACAAAAGCGGGGGGAACGUAGCUCCCUCGGGAGUGUUAUAGCCCUCCGCAUAAUACCCUCGCGGGGACCGAGGACCGCGCUUCGGCAAGGAUGCUGGCGUAAUGGUCGUCAACGACCCGUCUUGAAACACGGACCAAGGAGUCGAACAUUUGUGCGAGUGUUUGGGUGUCAAACCCUCACGCGUAAUGAAGGUGAACGUAGGUGAGAGCCCUCGCGGGCGCAUCAUCGACCGAUCCUGAUGUCUUCGGAUGGAUUUGAGUAAGAGCAUAACUGUUCGGACCCGAAAGAUGGUGAACUAUGCGUGGAUAGGGUGAAGCCAGAGGAAACUCUGGUGGAGGCUCGCAGCGGUUCUGACGUGCAAAUCGAUCGUCAAAUCUGCGCAUGGGGGCGAAAGACUUAUCGAACCAUCUAGUAGCUGGUUA
Molecule: ribosomal RNA, 890 nt
Filed under: Rosellinia limonispora
Lineage: Eukaryota; Fungi; Ascomycota; Sordariomycetes; Xylariales; Xylariaceae
Description: eukaryotic LSU rRNA
Rfam family: Eukaryotic large subunit ribosomal RNA
Source: RNAcentral